CCUACGGGUGGCAGCAGUGGGGAAUAUUGCACAAUGGGGGAAACCCUGAUGCAGCGACGCCGCGUGAGCGAUGAAGUAUUUCGGUAUGUAAAGCUCUAUCAGCAGGGAAGAAAAUGACGGUACCUGACUAAGAAGCCCCGGCUAACUACGUGCCAGCAGCCGCGGUAAUACGUAGGGGGCAAGCGUUAUCCGGAUUUACUGGGUGUAAAGGGAGCGUAGACGGCGGUGCAAGCCAGAUGUGAAAGCCCGGGGCUCAACCCCGGGACUGCAUUUGGAACUGUGCUGCUAGAGUGUCGGAGAGGCAGGCGGAAUUCCUAGUGUAGCGGUGAAAUGCGUAGAUAUUAGGAGGAACACCAGUGGCGAAGGCGGCCUGCUGGGCUUUAACUGACGCUGAGGCUCGAAAGCGUGGGGAGCAAACAGGAUUAGAUACCCUUGUAGUC
This 440-nucleotide ribosomal RNA is filed under the name uncultured bacterium. RNAcentral's name for it is "partial 16S ribosomal RNA". It matches the Rfam family "Bacterial small subunit ribosomal RNA", at positions 338 to 795 of the family's 1533-position model. The record is from RNAcentral.